This 491-nucleotide ribosomal RNA is filed under the name uncultured bacterium. Its description in RNAcentral is "bacterial SSU rRNA". It matches the Rfam family "Bacterial small subunit ribosomal RNA", at positions 17 to 507 of the family's 1533-position model. The record is from RNAcentral.
UCAUGGCUCAGAUUAAACGCUGGCGGCAUGCCUUACACAUGCAAGUCGAACGGCAGCACGGGGGCAACCUGGCGACGAGUGGCGAACGGUGAGUAAAGCAUCGGAACGUGCCCUGGAAUGGGGGAUAACGUAGCGAAAGUUACGCUAAUACCGCAUAUUCUGUGAGCAGGAAAGCAGGGGAUCGCAAGACCUUGCGUUCUGGGAGCGGCCGAUGUCGGAUUAGCUAGUUGGUGGGUAAAGCCUACCAAGGCGACGAUCCGUAGCGGGUCUGAGAGGAUGAUCCGCCACACUGGGACUGAGACACGGCCCAGACUCCUACGGGAGGCAGCAGUGGGGAAUUUUGGACAAUGGGCGGAAGCCUGAUCCAGCCAUGCCGCGUGAGUGAAGAAGGCCUUCGGGUUGUAAAGCUCUUUCGGUGGGGAAGAAAUUGCACGGGUUAAUACCCUGUGUAGAUGACGGUACCCGACUAAGAAGCACCGGCUAACUACGUG